CUCCACUGACAGCCAGUCCCACAUGAUGCAUGGUGAUUGCUGAAACCUGCUACCUGCUGUAUCAGUAGAUGAAGUAAAGGCUGUAGCCUGCAAACAGUGAAGUCAACAUGAGGUCUAUCCCUGCCAGGUUUGCAGGAACAGCCCAUACGUCUCACAGGAAGGAAAAUGGUAACAUCGUGCCUAUGCCACAGCUAUUUUAUACGGACACUUAUAACCCUGGUAUGUAUUGGAGGUCUCCGCUCCAGGAUACACA
Molecule: long non-coding RNA, 253 nt
Organism: Myiozetetes cayanensis
Lineage: Eukaryota; Metazoa; Chordata; Aves; Passeriformes; Tyrannidae
Exons: 3
Source: RefSeq, a predicted model, not a curated record